AAUGAACGCUGGCGGCGCGCCUAAUACAUGCAAGUCGAGCGAGAAGACGUAGCAAUACGUUUGUAAAGCGGCGAACGGGUGAGGAAUACAUGGGUAACCUACCCUCGAGUGGGGAAUAACUAGCCGAAAGGUUAGCUAAUACCGCGUACGCUUCUUGGACUUCGGUUCAGGGAGGAAAGCGAUACCGUGGGUAUCGCGCUCUUGGAUGGGCUCAUGUCCUAUCAGCUUGUUGGUGAGGUAACGGCUCACCAAGGCUUCGACGGGUAGCUGGUCUGAGAGGACGAUCAGCCACACUGGCACUGCGACACGGGCCAGACUCCUACGGGAGGCAGCAGUAAGGAAUAUUGCGCAAUGGGCGAAA
Molecule: ribosomal RNA, 361 nt
Filed under: uncultured bacterium
Lineage: Bacteria
Description: bacterial SSU rRNA
Rfam family: Bacterial small subunit ribosomal RNA
Source: RNAcentral